This is a long non-coding RNA of Peromyscus eremicus (cactus mouse), 728 nucleotides long. RefSeq lists it as uncharacterized. The transcript has 2 exons. Lineage: Eukaryota; Metazoa; Chordata; Mammalia; Rodentia; Cricetidae. The record is from RefSeq and is a predicted model, not a curated record.
GAGCCCACAAGGCCGCGGGCUUCGCACGAUGACUAUACCGCCUGUCUCUUUAAAUACGGGUCCUUGAACCAGAGGCAGCGCGCAGGCGCAGUAGCCGAGCCGGGCCUCUGCCUUCCGACCCCGCCCCCUCCGGCCGCCACGUGUGUCGCUGUUCCGUUCCGGUCUAGGGGGUUUGAACUGAGGCGUUGUGGGGUUCAGGGGCGGCUUGGGGCGCUGCGGACCUGAACUUCCUAGAAUGUCUCAGAUUCUUAGAGAGUGAAGACAGUGAUUGAAAAAUUAUCGCAGUGAGCCCAGGGAAGGAAAGAUCGAGUCGUUCCACCUUUAGUUUGUAUUCCUGUCCACAUGCGUUUUGCCGAAUUAAAAAGAGGCUACUUUAAUUUAAAAAGGUAGUUAGGAACUGUGAAGGAGCGACGGGGACGGUGGCCCCGAUUAUAUGUCAUUUAGUGUACUACCGCGCCUAAACCUCAAGUCGGCUUUGUGAUUUUUGAGGUGGCUAAAUUUUACAAAAAUAAAAGUAUCCAGGCCAGAAGCCCUGUGCCCUUUCCAUCCCUACCCCUGUAUGUGGUUGCUUAGCACUGGAGAUGUGACCAGUCUGAACCGAGGGAUGCUGUGAGUGAUCACUGCACACUGACAAGUUCACAACCCUUCUCCAAAGAGUGUAAAAGAGCCAGUUAUCUGCUGAAAUGAUUUUUGAUGUGUUGAGUUAAAUAAAAUAUAUUUUUAUGUCA